RNAcentral lists this ribosomal RNA (253 nucleotides) under uncultured bacterium. Its description in RNAcentral is "partial 16S ribosomal RNA". It matches the Rfam family "Bacterial small subunit ribosomal RNA", at positions 524 to 776 of the family's 1533-position model. The record is from RNAcentral.
UACGAAGGGUGCAAGCGUUAGUCGGAAUUACUGGGCGUAAAGCGUGCGUAGGUGGUUCGUUAAGUCUGUUGUGAAAGCCCUGGGCUCAACCUGGGAAUGGCGAUGGAUACUGGCGAGCUAGAGUGCGGUAGAGGAUGGCGGAAUUCCCGGUGUAGCGGUGAAAUGCGUAGAGAUCGGGAGGAACAUCAAUGGCGAAGGCAGCCAUCUGGGCCAGCACUGACGCUGAGGCACGAAAGCGUGGGGAGCAAACAGG